This is a small nucleolar RNA of Acanthamoeba castellanii str. Neff, 74 nucleotides long. It matches the Rfam family "Small nucleolar RNA SNORD24". From Rfam's summary of the family: U24 is a member of the C/D class of snoRNA which contain the C (UGAUGA) and D (CUGA) box motifs. The record is from Rfam. NCBI's taxonomy places the organism in Eukaryota, Discosea, Longamoebia, Acanthamoebidae.
CGCUGAUGAUGCAUAAAUAUUUGCUACUCUUGACUUCUUGCAUGACGACAUUUUCCACCAAGAUCUCUGAGGCG